UCAGUGAAAUCGAGUAGGGCGGGACACGUGAUAUCCUGUCUGAAUAUGGGGGGACCAUCCUCCAAGGCUAAAUACUACUGACUGACCGAUAGUGAACCAGUACCGUGAGGGAAAGGCGAAAAGAACCCCUGUGAGGGGAGUGAAAUAGAACCUGAAACCGUGUACGUACAAGCAGUAGGAGCAGGCUUUGUCCUGUGACUGCGUACCUUUUGUAUAAUGGGUCAGCGACUUAUAUUCAGUGGCAAGGUUAACCAUCUAGGGGAGCCGUAGGGAAACCGAGUCUUAACUGGGCGUUCAGUCUCUGGAUAUAGACCCGAAACCAGGUGAUCUAGCCAUGGGCAGGUUGAAGGUUGAGUAACAUCAACUGGAGGACCGAACCGACUAAUGUUGAAAAAUUAGCGGAUGACUUGUGGCUAGGGGUGAAAGGCCAAUCAAACCUGGAGAUAGCUGGUUCUCCCCGAAAGCUAUUUAGGUAGCGCCUCGGACGAAUACUACUGGGGGUAGAGCACUGUUAAGGCUAGGGGGUCAUCCCGACUUACCAACCCUUUGCAAACUCCGAAUACCAGUAAGUACUAUCCGGGAGACACACGGCGGGUGCUAACGUCCGUCGUGGAGAGGGAAACAACCCAGACCGC
RNAcentral lists this ribosomal RNA (635 nucleotides) under Vibrio parahaemolyticus. RNAcentral describes it as "partial 23S ribosomal RNA". It matches the Rfam family "Bacterial large subunit ribosomal RNA", at positions 399 to 1035 of the family's 2925-position model. Lineage: Bacteria; Pseudomonadati; Pseudomonadota; Gammaproteobacteria; Vibrionales; Vibrionaceae. The record is from RNAcentral.